RNAcentral lists this ribosomal RNA (423 nucleotides) under uncultured microorganism. RNAcentral describes it as "bacterial SSU rRNA". It matches the Rfam family "Archaeal small subunit ribosomal RNA", at positions 330 to 745 of the family's 1478-position model. The record is from RNAcentral.
GCGCAGCAGUCGCGAAACCUUCGCAAUGCGGGAAACCGCGACGAGGGGACUCCCAGUGCCUACGCUCAGCGUAGGCUGUUCCCGAGCCUAGAAAGCUCGGGGAGUAAGGGCUGGGUAAGACGGGUGCCAGCCGCCGCGGUAAUACCCGCAGCCCGAGUGGUGGCCACUAUUAUUGGGCCUAAAGCGUCCGUAGCCGGCCCGGUAAAUGCCUGGGGUAAAUCGUGAGGCCUAACCUCACGAGUUCCGGGUAGACUGCCGGGGCUAGGGGACCGGAGGAGGGAGAGGGGUACUCCGAGGGGGUAGGGGUGAAAAUCCUGUAAAUCCCCUGGAGGACCACCGGGUGGCGAAGGCGCUCUCCUAGGACGGGUCCGACGGUAAGGGACGAAGGCCAGGGGAGCGAACCGGAUUAGAUACCCCUGUAGU